CCUCAAAUCAGGUAGGACUACCCGCCGAACUUAAGCAUAUCAAUAAGCGGAGGAAAAGAAACUAACAAGGAUUCCCCUAGUAACUGUGAGCGAAGCGGGAAAAGCUCAAAUUUAAAAUCUGGCGGCUUCGCCGUCCGAGUUGUAAUCUGGAGAAGCGUUUUCCGUGUUGGACCGUGUACAAGCCUCUUGGAACAGAGCGUCAUAGAGGGUGAGAAUCCCGUCUUUGACACGGACUACCAAUGCUUUGUGGUACGCUCUCGAAUAGUCGAGUUGUUUGGGAAUGCAGCUCAAAAUGGGUGGUAAAUUCCAUCUAAAGCUAAAUAUUGGCGAGAGACCGAUAGCGAACAAGUACCGUGAGGGAAAGAUGAAAAGCACUUUGGAAAGAGAGUUAAACAGUACGUGAAAUUGUUGAAAGGGAAACGCUUGAAGUCAGUCGCGUUGUCCGGGACUCAGCCUUGCUUCUGCUUGGUGUAUUUCCUGGUUGACGGGCCAACAUCGAUUUUGGACGGCGGAUAAAGGUGAGGGGAAUGUGGCAUCCUCGGAUGUGUUAUAGCCUCUCGUCGGAUGCGUCGUCUGGGAUCGAGGACCGCAGCACGCCUUUUUGGCCGGGGUUCGCCCACGUAAGGUCUGUUGGUUGAUG
RNAcentral lists this ribosomal RNA (640 nucleotides) under uncultured Basidiomycota. RNAcentral describes it as "LSU rRNA". It matches the Rfam family "Eukaryotic large subunit ribosomal RNA", at positions 1 to 625 of the family's 3401-position model. The record is from RNAcentral. Lineage: Eukaryota; Fungi; Basidiomycota.